This 265-nucleotide ribosomal RNA is filed under the name uncultured bacterium. Its description in RNAcentral is "partial 16S ribosomal RNA". It matches the Rfam family "Bacterial small subunit ribosomal RNA", at positions 793 to 1055 of the family's 1533-position model. The record is from RNAcentral.
GUCCACGCCGUAAACGAUGAAUACUAGGUGUAGGGGUUGUCAUGACCUCUGUGCCGCCGCUAACGCAUUAAGUAUUCCGCCUGGGGAGUACGGUCGCAAGAUUAAAAACUCAAAGGAAUUGACGGGGGCCCGCACAAGCAGCGGAGCAUGUGGUUUAAUUCGAAGCAACGCGAAGAACCUUACCUAGACUUGACAUCUCCUGCAUUACCCUUAAAUCGGGAAAGUUCCUUCGGGGACAGGAAGACAGGUGGUGCAUGGUUGUCGU